Molecule: transfer RNA, 73 nt
Filed under: Mesoaciditoga lauensis
Lineage: Bacteria; Thermotogati; Thermotogota; Thermotogae; Mesoaciditogales; Mesoaciditogaceae
Description: tRNA-Ala
Rfam family: tRNA
About the family: Transfer RNA (tRNA) molecules are approximately 80 nucleotides in length. Their secondary structure includes four short double-helical elements and three loops (D, anti-codon, and T loops).
Source: RNAcentral
GGGGUCGUGGCGCAGCUGGGAGCGCGCUUGCAUGGCAUGCAAGAGGCCGUGGGUUCAAAUCCCAUCGGCUCCA